UUCGCAAUGCCCGAAAGGGUGACGAAGCGACGCCGCGUGGGUGAGGAAGGCCCUCGGGUUGUAAAGCCCUGUCAGGAGUUAAGAAAUGUAGGUACGCUAAUAUCGUAUCUAUUUGACAAAGGCUCCAAAGGAAGCCACGGCUAACUCUGUGCCAGCAGCCGCGGUAAUACAGAGGUGGCAAGCGUUGUUCGGAAUUAUUGGGCGUAAAGAGCACGUAGGUGGAUUUGUAAGUCAGAUGUGAAAGCCUUCUGUUCAACGGGAGAAUUGCAUCUGAAACUACAAACCUUGAGUGUAGGAGGGGAGAAUGGAACUUCUGGUGGAGCGGUGAAAUGCGUAGAUACCAGAAGGAACGCCGGCGGCGAAAGCGAUUCUCUGGCCUAUUACUGACAUUCAGUGUGCGAAAGCUAGGGGAGCAAACGGGAUUAGAUACCCCGGUAGUCCUAGCCGUAAACGAUGGGCACUAAGUAGAGGGGUUUU
This 477-nucleotide ribosomal RNA is filed under the name Candidatus Scalindua brodae. RNAcentral's name for it is "bacterial SSU rRNA". It matches the Rfam family "Bacterial small subunit ribosomal RNA", at positions 365 to 832 of the family's 1533-position model. Lineage: Bacteria; Pseudomonadati; Planctomycetota; Candidatus Brocadiia; Candidatus Brocadiales; Candidatus Scalinduaceae. The record is from RNAcentral.